GCAACUGGGGUAUACUCUGUAUAUAAUCAGAAAUAAAUCUAGCUUGUAGUGCCACAAUAAUGGACUAGUAGUAACUUUUUCGGAGGACAGUGAACUGGAUAAGUGUGCGGUGGCACAUAUAAUCCUACUGCAGCAGAAAUGAUCUAGUCCUUGCCUACAUAUUGUAGCUUGGCUUGCUCCCUGUCCAUAGCUAAUUCACGCAUCAGUUCAGAAUCAGAAUAAGCGUCAUAAAACAUCAGUUCAAAAUCCUUUAACAUCUUGACUACAAGCUGAAGUAUGAUUAUGUAGGAGGGAGGCUCUUUUCAGAAAAAAAAAAUAGAAUCAAACGUGGUACUCUGUUCUUGUUAAUUAAUUGCAGUCUUGUGUAAAACUGAAGAGUUAGAAAUUAUUCAUAUUGUGGCU
This 402-nucleotide long non-coding RNA is filed under the name Brachypodium distachyon (stiff brome). RNAcentral describes it as "long non-coding RNA (BDIS_LNC005390)". The record is from RNAcentral. Lineage: Eukaryota; Viridiplantae; Streptophyta; Magnoliopsida; Poales; Poaceae.